Molecule: ribosomal RNA, 506 nt
Filed under: uncultured bacterium
Lineage: Bacteria
Description: partial 16S ribosomal RNA
Rfam family: Bacterial small subunit ribosomal RNA
Source: RNAcentral
GGUGAACGCUGGCGGUAGGCCUAACACAUGCAAGUCGAACGGCAGCACAGGAGAGCUUGCUCUCUGGGUGGCGAGUGGCGGACGGGUGAGGAAUACAUCGGAAUCUACUCUGUCGUGGGGGAUAACGUAGGGAAACUUACGCUAAUACCGCAUACGACCUACGGGUGAAAGCAGGGGAUCUUCGGACCUUGCGCGAUUGAAUGAGCCGAUGUCGGAUUAGCUAGUUGGCGGGGUAAAGGCCCACCAAGGCGACGAUCCGUAGCUGGUCUGAGAGGAUGAUCAGCCACACUGGAACUGAGCCACGGUCCAGACUCCUACGGGAGGCAGCAGUGGGGAAUAUUGGACAAUGGGCGCAAGCCUGAUCCAGCCAUACCGCGUGGGUGAAGAAGGCCUUCGGGUUGUAAAGCCCUCUUGUUGGGAAAGAAAUCCAGCUGGCUAAUACCCGGUUGGGAUGACGGUACCCAAAGAAUAAGCACCGGCUAACUUCGUGCCAGCAGCCGCCGUAA